GAUGAACGCUGGCGGCGUGCCUAAUACAUGCAAGUCGAGCGAACAGAUAAGGAGCUUGCUCCUUUGAAGUUAGCGGCGGACGGGUGAGUAACACGUGGGUAACCUACCUAUAAGACUGGGAUAACUUCGGGAAACCGGAGCUAAUACCGGAUAACAUUUAGAACCGCGUGGUUCUAAAGUGAAAGAUGGUUUUGCUAUCACUUAUAGAUGGACCCGCGCCGUAUUAGCUAGUUGGUAAGGUAACGGCUUACCAAGGCGACGAUACGUAGCCGACCUGAGAGGGUGAUCGGCCACACUGGAACUGAGACACGGUCCAGACUCCUACGGGAGGCAGCAGUAGGGAAUCUUCCGCAAUGGGCGAAAGCCUGACGGAGCAACGCCGCGUGAGUGAUGAAGGGUUUCGGCUCGUAAAACUCUGUUAUUAGGGAAGAACAAAUGUGUAAGUAACUGUGCACAUCUUGACGGUACCUAAUCAGAAAGCCACGGCUAACUACGUGCCAGCAGCCGCGGUAAUACGUAGGUGGCAAGCGUUAUCCGGAAUUAUUGGGCGUAAAGCGCGCGUAGGCGGUUUCUUAAGUCUGAUGUGAAAGCCCACGGCUCAACCGUGGAGGGUCAUUGGAAACUGGGAAACUUGAGUGCAGAAGAGGAAAGUGGAAUUCCAUGUGUAGCGGUGAAAUGCGCAGAGAUAUGGAGGAACACCAGUGGCGAAGGCGACUUUCUGGUCUGUAACUGACGCUGAUGUGCGAAAGCGUGGGGAUCAAACAGGAUUAGAUACCCUGGUAGUCCACGCCGUAAACGAUGAGUGCUAAGUGUUAGGGGGUUUCCGCCCCUUAGUGCUGCAGCUAACGCAUUAAGCACUCCGCCUGGGGAGUACGACCGCAAGGUUGAAACUCAAAGGAAUUGACGGGGACCCGCACAAGCGGUGGAGCAUGUGGUUUAAUUCGAAGCAACGCGAAGAACCUUACCAAAUCUUGACAUCCUUUGAAAACUCUAGAGAUAGAGCCUUCCCCUUCGGGGGACAAAGUGACAGGUGGUGCAUGGUUGUCGUCAGCUCGUGUCGUGAGAUGUUGGGUUAAGUCCCGCAACGAGCGCAACCCUUAAGCUUAGUUGCCAUCAUUAAGUUGGGCACUCUAGGUUGACUGCCGGUGACAAACCGGAGGGAGGUGGGGAUGACGUCAAAUCAUCAUGCCCCUUAUGAUUUGGGCUACACACGUGCUACAAUGGACAAUACAAAGGGCAGCUAAACCGCGAGGUCAUGCAAAUCCCAUAAAGUUGUUCUCAGUUCGGAUUGUAGUCUGCAACUCGACUACAUGAAGCUGGAAUCGCUAGUAAUCGUGGAUCAGCAUGCUACGGUGAAUACGUUCCCGGGUCU
RNAcentral lists this ribosomal RNA (1372 nucleotides) under uncultured bacterium. Its description in RNAcentral is "bacterial SSU rRNA". It matches the Rfam family "Bacterial small subunit ribosomal RNA", at positions 28 to 1381 of the family's 1533-position model. The record is from RNAcentral.